This 426-nucleotide ribosomal RNA is filed under the name uncultured bacterium. Its description in RNAcentral is "bacterial SSU rRNA". It matches the Rfam family "Bacterial small subunit ribosomal RNA", at positions 355 to 772 of the family's 1533-position model. The record is from RNAcentral.
UGGGGAAUCUUGCGCAAUGGGCGAAAGCCUGACGCAGCAACGCCGCGUGUGUGAUGAAGGUCUUCGGAUCGUAAGGCACUGUCGGCAGGAACGAUGGCGAGCGUGGCUAAUAUCCACGAACGUUGACGGUACCUGCAAAGGAAGCACCGGCUAACUCUGUGCCAGCAGCCGCGGUAAUACAGAGGGUGCGAGCGUUGUUCGGAAUCAUUGGGCGUAAAGCGCGCGUAGGCGGCUUUGCAAGUCGGAUGUGAAAGCCCUGGGCUCAACCCAGGAAGUGCAUUCGAAACUGCAUGGCUUGAGUUCCGGAGAGGGUGGUGGAAUUCCGAGUGUAGAGGUGAAAUUCGUAGAUAUUCGGAGGAACACCAGUGGCGAAGGCGACCACCUGGACGAGAACUGACGCUGAGGUGCGAAAGCGUGGGGAGCAAA